AUUUACGACCUCCCUGGGUUUUGAUGACAUCAUCAAGGACUUCACCUCGUCAAAAGUAAGGAGAAAGCAUCUGUAAAUAUGAGUUUUACCUUGAGAUGAUUAGAACAUGGAAGAGCUACAGUUCAUGCCCACGCAUGAUAGAAGCAUGCCGUCUGUACAGGGAGGGAGCAGUGCGAAAUCUCUCAUUUCUGGCAAAAAGUUAUGGUGUUGACAGGAAGUCAUUAAGGCAGAGAGUGAAGGAGCAUCUGAGUAUUGAUGCACAACAGGGACAUGCCAUCUACCUGGGUCCAGCGGUAGAGCAGGAGAUUUCAGAGUGUCUUCAGGUAGGGUUAUAGUGACUGAUAGGCUAAGAAAAAGAUAACAUGAAGCAGUGGGUAUCCUAAUAUGAGGUCAUGAAAAAUGUGAUUUUGCGUAAUCCAGUGGUUCUCAGUGUGUGGCCUGUGGGUAUGUGUGUGCACUUGUGUAUGUGUUUGUGUGCGCUUGCAUAAGUAACAUUUGAAAAUCAAUUAAAGUUAUUGUUUAAUUGUAAAUCCUGUAAUUGACUCAUUUACUAUCCUUAGAACCUCAGUAUUAAACCUGCAAACUGUUUUUCUUUCAGUCAGUCAGUCAUUAGAAAUCUUCAUAAAAACACCCGCACUUUCAACCAUCUGGCUGGACCAGAAAUUUUGGACAAUUUCAAACACCAACAGCACACCAUAGGAGAGAGAUACGGACCAAAUGUCAACGCAUAUUGAAAGAUUAAGUAUUAAAGAGUCAUUUACACUAUAGUUUUGAUUUUGUUCAUGAAUAGUUUUCCAAAGAAGACGUGUUGUAAGUUUAGCUUUUUCUACAUUGACAACACAGCAAAAUGGCUGGUCACGCCCAUUUCAAAUGCCAUUUACAGGCCAUAGGAUAGGAGUGAAGACACGGUGAAAAAAGCAAUUGAGAGCUAAGAGAUUACAGAUUUGAAUAGAACAAUAUGUAUUUUCAAGAUUUUUUAAAUAAGUAUAAUUAUUUAUCAACAAAUCAUGAAGUGGGCUUAUUUGGAACACCCACGGGCUUAAAGGGUACGUUAGGUACCCAUUAAGCCCAUGCCUGACUUUUGACAUAUUUUGACAAAUUAAACAAUAAAAACAUUAGAAAUUGGUAUUAAUAGAUUAUUGACACUUCAAAUGAGAGAUUAGACUUUCAUUUUAAAUAAAAUGUUUUCACUUAAAUUGGGGCAGUACAUAUUAAAAAUGUCAGAAAAGGGGAUUUGGUGGGCUCAAUAGGGACAUUUACCCAACAUGUCAUACUACUUCAGGGUCCAACUAACAUAGAACAAGACUAUGUACUGAGGUAUCCUUAUCAAAUCCAAAGGAGUUCCAGUCCCUAAGCAGCACCAUGUUGAAUUAAUUCAAGCUGGUCUGGAGGCACAAAGGGGUUCAACCCAAAACUUGGGAGGUUAAUUCAAAAAAGUGGCCCCUGAGUCUGUGUAUAAGGUUUUCCCCAAAUUCAUUGACUUGAUGCAUUGAUAGAAAGACAGUACAUACUGGUACUAGUACCUGCCCAUUUAAGACCAGCAGAUGAUGGACACAUGCAGGUCAGUCUGGCAGAUUCAAGAGCUCUGCCGAUAUCACAGAUAUAGGCUAUUGAACCAUAGAAGAGUCACCGAGUGUUGUGGGUAGCUCUUAACAGUUGCAUAUUAUCAUUAAAAAAAACAAAAAACUAUUAAAGCUGUAAGCAGCAAUGAACAGGCCCUCACACCUCACAUGCAUCAGAGGGAGCUCCCAGAGAUCCGUCGACACAGCUCUGAAUUUUCAGGAUUAUAGGAAACUGUGUGAAUGGGUAAAAUAUUAUUUCCUGUGUGCGGUAUGUGGUGCUGGAGAUGACAUGUUGGAAAUUGCAUAUACAUCUGAUGAACUAUGUGUUACCUAGGCUUCACUUCCUGUUGCCAGUAUGGGGUGCUACACAAGUGGGUCAUUAAUGCAGCAAUACAUAUAGUGGAGACUGACAUGCAUAUGCAUUUUCAUGAAUAUCGGACGUUGCAUGACGGAGUAAAAUAUCACUUCCUGUGUCCACUAUGUGGGGCUAGAAAACACCUACUAAUUAAAUGUCAUGUUGCUGCAUAUCAUGUGUAGACCACACCAUAUCAAUUUCAUGUAAAUCUGAUGAUGUUGGUCACAUAUAGCUGACUUCCUGUUGUCAGUAGGUGUUGCCAUGACUAUGAGUCAAUAUGGGCAUGUAGAUGACUUCAGGCCUGGACUCUUAUCUAGCAUGUGAAAUUUGGGGCAGAUUGGACAAUGAGAAUUCAAGUUACAACAGCUUCCUCUUUCAUGGCAAAACAUGCAAAUUUUCUGUAUUGCUUUGGCAACGCCAUCCCAUUAAAAACUCAAAAGCUUUGCAAUUUGGCAUUGCAAAGGUCUUGAGAUUUUGCCUACCAAAUUUGAGGUGGACCUUUUGAAUCCUCUAGGAGGAGUUUCAGAAAGUUCCAUACCUGUAAAGUGCCUAAAAUGGCGUGUUGUCAAAUGACCUAUGACAUCAUCAUUUGAGAUAUCGAGUAUGCCGUCACAAUUUAGUGUCACAUUAGUCUGAGGGUUAUAUCAACCAAAUUUCAAAUGAAUCCGAUAAACCCUGUAGGAGUUCGAAAAAGUUUGCUUAAAAUACAGAAAAAACACACAAAAUUCAAAAUUGCCAACUUCUGGUUGGGCAGAGGUAAUGAAGGCCAAUGUGAAGUAUGUAUGUCUGAAAUGAUGACAACAACGUGCAUUCCAAAUUUUGUGAAUAUCGGAGCAGCUUUAUCCUGAUUAUGGCCUGCCACGCAUUAGGGGGCACUAUGGAGCCCACUGGCCAUGCCUGAGCCCAGUCACCACAGAACUUGGCAAUUUUCACCGGUUCUGAUGUGUGUGCUAAUUUUCAUGAGUUUUCAAGCAUCCCAAGCCCCUCUCAAAUGCAAUGGGGUAGGAGAAUAAUAAUCUCCACAAAAACAAUAGGUUCCUCACACUGUCAGUGCCAGUAACUGUUUCAUGCUUGGGCCCUAAAAAGAGCAAAAUAUAACAGUGAACAAACUUUUUUUCUGAGCUGGUGUGGUAUGGCAAUAGCUCUGUGGCUGACAAGAAGGCUCUGUAGAGAGCCAUCAAAACAGCCCAGAAAAUUACCAUCACACAUCUGCCUGCCCUGCAAGACAUCUAUAUGUCCCCUUGCCUGCGGAAGGCAUUUCACCCCAUCCAUCACCUUUUUGACCUUCUGCCCUCAGGAAAGCGCUACAGGUCCAUCAAAGCACACACCACAGAACUAAUGAACAGUUUUUACCCCAAAGCCAUCACCACAUUGAACUCUGCUCUGAAGGCACACCCUCCAUAGACAACUCUUACUGUACAAUACUGUGCAAUAUCGUUACUAAUUCUGUGCAAUACCUUUAUUUAUAUUGAUAUAUUUAUACUGUGCAACACUGAUAUUGGUUUUUUUUGGUAUGUGCGUUUGGAAUUGGGUCUGUCAGUGCGUGUGAAAUGAAUAGGUUUAUUCUUAAUCUUGGAUAUUGAGUUCUGCUCAGACAGCGUACCUGAAUUUCGUUGUAUACACCAGUACAAUGACAAUAAAGGAAUUCUAAUUCUAACUUUAAUUUUUUUCUUUUAACACACUCCUGUGGGGUUGCUCAAGUGUAAUCCGUGGGCGUAUUUGUGUGUCCAACUUCACGUGUUCUUAAAAUGUGCAUAUGUAUCUGAGCAUGUGUGUA
Long non-coding RNA from Thunnus maccoyii (southern bluefin tuna), 3694 nucleotides. RefSeq lists it as uncharacterized. The record is from RefSeq and is a predicted model, not a curated record. The transcript has 2 exons. Lineage: Eukaryota; Metazoa; Chordata; Actinopteri; Scombriformes; Scombridae.